UAUCCCCUGAGGUAUUCGUUUAAGCUAUUUAAUUCAACCUACACUUCGCAAAAGGGAAUCCGGGUUUUCUGUACAAUGACAUGCCGCCUCAGACAGCGGAAGUCAGCGUGCCGGAGCAGGGUACCCACCUAUCAUAUGAUAGGGCGUGAAUUAACGGCUUGACGGUAUUUUGGGGUUUUU
This 180-nucleotide non-coding RNA is filed under the name Bacillota bacterium. Its description in RNAcentral is "6S RNA". It matches the Rfam family "6S / SsrS RNA". From Rfam's summary of the family: E. coli 6S RNA was the first non coding RNA to be sequenced, but its function was unknown until recently. It consists of 184 nucleotides that fold into an extended hairpin structure with a large single-stranded internal bulge. Lineage: Bacteria; Bacillati; Bacillota. The record is from RNAcentral.